GUCAAGACAGAUGAAAGGACGGACAUCUUCUCUGUAUCUCGACCUCCACCAUCUAUGCUGUCACCGUGCCAACCUACGUUAUGAACACACCAGGCAAAUCCAGGAGAGCAUGGGUCAGAGGGAGUGCUGGUGCGGCCUUCGCGGGAUUGUAACCACAAGAAACACAUCACACCAGCAAACACACCAGCAUUGGUGCCACCAGCAGUUUAGAAGAGCCGUUACUGUAUCUCAACAGCAGAUAGCAGAGAGAGAGAGAGAGAGAGAGAGAGAGAGUCUGGCGAC
Molecule: long non-coding RNA, 282 nt
Organism: Haliotis rufescens (red abalone)
Lineage: Eukaryota; Metazoa; Mollusca; Gastropoda; Lepetellida; Haliotidae
Exons: 3
Source: RefSeq, a predicted model, not a curated record